This 178-nucleotide microRNA precursor is filed under the name Glycine max (soybean). RNAcentral's name for it is "miR172l stem-loop (gma-MIR172l)". Its record names the gene gma-MIR172l. It matches the Rfam family "mir-172 microRNA precursor family". Rfam says of the family: mir-172 has been experimentally verified in Arabidopsis thaliana. This family is thought to target mRNAs coding for APETALA2-like transcription factors. The record is from miRBase by way of RNAcentral. Lineage: Eukaryota; Viridiplantae; Streptophyta; Magnoliopsida; Fabales; Fabaceae.
CAGUCUGCAGGUGCAGCGGCAUCAAGAUUCACACUGCCUAAUCAGCUAGGACUUCAUGACUGUACACGCUUAUACAUACAUAUAUAUACAUGUACGUUGGCUCUUUGUGGACGAGUGUGGAAUGAAUAAAGUUCUAUUUUAGAUGUGGGAAUCUUGAUGAUGCUGCAUCAGCAAAUAC